CGCCUCAAUCGAGCGAGGAUCCGUAACUUGCUCUUAUGAAGUUAGCGGCGGACGGGUGAGUAACACGUGGGUAACCUGCCCAUAAGACUGGGAUAACUCCGGGAAACCGGGGCUAAUACCGGAUAACAUUUUGAACAGCAUGGUUCGAAAUUGAAAGGCGGCUUCCGCUGUCACUUAUGGAUGGACCCGCGUCGCAUUAGCUAGUUGGUGAGGUAACGGCUCACCAAGGCAACGAUGCGUAGCCGACCUGAGAGGGUGAUCGGCCACACUGGGACUGAGACACGGCCCAGACUCCUACGGGAGGCAGCAGUAGGGAAUCUUCCGCAAUGGACGAAAGUCUGACGGAGCAACGCCGCGUGAGUGAUGAAGGCUUUCGGGUCGUAAAACUCUGUUGUUAGGGAAGAACAAGUGCUAGUUGAAUAAGCUGGCACCUUGACGGUACCUAACCAGAAAGCCACGGCUAACUACGUGCCAGCAGCCGCGGUAAUACGUAGGUGGCAAGCGUUAUCCGAAAUUAUUGGGCCUAAAGCUCGCGCAGGUGGUUUCUUAUUACUGAUGUAACACCCCCGGCU
RNAcentral lists this ribosomal RNA (572 nucleotides) under Bacillus anthracis (anthrax bacterium). RNAcentral's name for it is "bacterial SSU rRNA". It matches the Rfam family "Bacterial small subunit ribosomal RNA", at positions 56 to 609 of the family's 1533-position model. The record is from RNAcentral. Lineage: Bacteria; Bacillati; Bacillota; Bacilli; Caryophanales; Bacillaceae.